GAGUUCAUGCCCGAAAGGGUAGACCUCCCACCCUUGUGUAUUAUUACUUUGUUGCUUUGGCGAGCUGCCUUCGGGCCUUGUAUGUUCGCCAGAGAAUAUCAAAACUCUUUUUAUUAAUGUCGCCUGAGUACUAUAUAAUAGUUAAAACAUUCAACAACGGAUCACUUGGUUCU
This 173-nucleotide unclassified non-coding RNA is filed under the name rhizosphere metagenome. Its description in RNAcentral is "partial ribosomal RNA internal transcribed spacer region". The record is from RNAcentral.